Molecule: ribosomal RNA, 253 nt
Filed under: uncultured bacterium
Lineage: Bacteria
Description: partial 16S ribosomal RNA
Rfam family: Bacterial small subunit ribosomal RNA
Source: RNAcentral
UACGUAGGGUGCGAGCGUUAAUCGGAAUUACUGGGCGUAAAGCGUGCGCAGGCGGCUUUGCAAGACAGAUGUGAAAUCCCCGGGCUCAACCUGGGAACUGCUUUCAAAACUGCUGAGCUAGAGUACGGCAGAGGGGGAUGGAAUUCCGCGUGUAGCAGUGAAAUGCGUAGAUAUGCGGAGGAACACCAAUGGCGAAGGCAAUCCCCUGGGCCUGUACUGACGCUCAUGCACGAAAGCGUGGGGAGCAAACAGG